This is a long non-coding RNA of Triticum aestivum (bread wheat), 3328 nucleotides long. RefSeq lists it as uncharacterized. Lineage: Eukaryota; Viridiplantae; Streptophyta; Magnoliopsida; Poales; Poaceae. The record is from RefSeq and is a predicted model, not a curated record. The transcript is spliced from 6 exons.
UUUUCUAAAAAAAAAAUAGGGUUUCUUCCCAAUCGGCUUCCUCCUCUCGUCCUGUACACGCGAGGGAGAGCCGCCGCCUCCUUCCCUUCCAUACAAACCCUCUUCCCCGCCUCCCCUCGUCCGCCGCCGCCACCGACCAGCCGCUGUGGCCGACGUCGGGAAGCGCCGCCGCUUUGGCGCUACCACCACCCGUCCCCUCUCGGCGCUGCCCCUCUGCCUCCUCCCCUCCCGUCACACGACCUCGCCGCCCGGAAGACCACCCAUGGUGAGCCGCCGCCGAUCCACCCGCGCGAGGCGCCAUCGAUUAUCCCUCGGACACGCUGUUGUGCGCAGACACGCCCCCGACUCCCCGGCUCAUGCGCCGUCACGCCGACCACCUCCGGCCCUGACCUAGGGUUUGGUGGGCGAGCUCUUGAGAGCCGACCUCACGCCGACCCGAGGUGAACCGCGUCCCAUCCAUCACGGGGGCUGGAUCCUAAGGGGCAGAGGUGCAAUCCUGCAGAGCUGCUGGAUCCGAAAAUAAAGGUGUGAUUGGCCUGACGGCAACUCGGGCUUGCUGAGAACUAAGAGGCAGCAGCAGGGGGGAGAGGGAAAUGGGGAAGCCCCUAUGCCGGCGUGAGCGACGGUUCCCCAACGAGCUGGUGGCUCAUUACCUAUCACUCGGAGGAUGGCCGAGGCGGGGUUGUUCGACAACACGUCACCACCGAGCUGCUGCCGAGAUAAUGCCGAUGCUCAAUCCGGAUCUGGAUGUCUCAUCUCUGAACGUUAGAAACGCUGAGAAGUCCAUGUAAGCUUGCCCAUGCUGGUUCCGCGCAACAUUAUAUCUCUGGACUUUCAUACUUCCACAGCUCUAGACAUGAACUUCCUGAUAUGGUAACAAAAUUCUGGUGGAGAGACCUCCCAUAUUUAUUAGACUUGCUUGCUUUGGCAUGUUACUUCCUCUAAAUUUUAAAUAGGAUAUUCUUGGGAAUGAGAUGUAAUUUUAGGAAAUAAUUAGUAUUCAGCACUUUAUUUUAUCCUGAAACUAUUGAUCUCUCUCUCUCUCUCUCUCUCUCUCUCUACGUACAUCUACAUAUAUCGCACCAGCUGUUCCAGGUAGAGUAGUAGUGGCCACAAAAUUUUACUGAGAUAAUCAUGCGAGAUUACCGACGAAGAAAAUUCUCAUAGAAGGAUAGAAUGGCGGGUAUAGAUAUAAUAAUAUUUGGUGUCAGAUAUGUUUACUCAGAUGAUCCAAGAACUGAAUGAACCAUUGGAAUAUUUGGUGUCAGAUAUCUUUUUUUGUAUAAGAUAACUGGUUUAUCUGUUUAGUUGAUCCUUACUGUCGGUUGUCCAUGACGGAAGUUUAAGUUACUGUUGAAAUUGAUUAAGUUGAGUUUUCUAAUGUUUGCCUCUUUCUAAUGUCAAUUAUCAGGUAAGGACUCCAGUCUAAAUGUAAUCUAUAGUUCUAGGCUAUGCAAAUAAAAUGAAGUACCUGCCUAUUUUUAGUGAAUGCCCUUGGUGGCUUUGCCAUGGGCUCAAUAGUUAACAUAUGUUCGUGAUCUGGUAAUGCUUUUAUUUUUGUAGGCCGCAAAGGCCGUGCGUUGUGUGAAUACGUGUCAUAGUGGUCAGCAGUGGCAAGCCUCGCCGCGUCCAAACCAAUGUUAUUCGGCCUCAUGUAACAUAUUCCCUCUUUAGUUUUCAGUCUCCUACUAUUACUAAUGAAAUUUUAGUUAUCAAGGGUGUAUAAUAUCUUGGAAGCUUAGUGUCGUAUUUGAAUGUUCUUCUGCAUUUAAGCUAAAAUAUGUUAAUCUGCAUUGAUUUAUUUUCAGUUGAGUAUGAAGGAGCAAAGAGCUACAUAAUUCUUAUUCUUUAGUAUCCAUGUGAAUUAGUUUUCACCUCGGUUUGUGUGCUGAAAGCUAUUGAAACAUAUCCAUUGUAUUGUCAAAUGUUGUAUUGUGUGAGUCAUUUCUUUGUUGUGGAUGUCCUCGGCAAGAAUGAAGCAUGGACCUUAACGUCCCUAGGUAUAGCAGAUCAUCAUCCCUUCCUUUUCUAAUUUAUUUUCGUAGAAUAGGAUCAACACCCACAGUACAGUCUGGGUUCAUAAAGUGUGUGCAUUUAUCUCCAAUGCAUUUCUCACAAUCUGAAACUUCUUGCUUACAGUUUGUUAAGGUGAAGAAAUCUGCUUAGGCUACUGCUUCUUUUUUGAGUAUGAGUUCAUUUUCCUUUUCCAUAGGAUGGCUACGAUUGAAAAACUCUCUUCAGCUUCUUUUCUCUCUCUAUACAAUUCCUUUUCACUCUGAACCGAAUGAAAAAUCUGACGGGACUGCACAUAUAUCUUGCACUGAAUCUGGCCAUAUGUUUAAGUAAAAUAGUUCAGGUUAUAAGCCCGGAAAGAAAUUGAAUAUAAGAUGUGCUUUUGAAUUGCUGACGACCAAAGUCCGCAAGUAGGCUAUAGUCUUCUGAUCUUUCAGCUUAUUGCAGUAAUAUUAUUCCUUCUUCUUUUCUCCAGGCAGAAAAGACAUACUGAUUUGAAGACCACCUCAAUUGUUUGGGAUCUGGAUUGUCUAUACAUAUUUUUUUGGUAGUUGGCAGAUCUGGCCCAUCAUAAUUUUGUCCUACUACCAUGCAGUUCUAUCCUCGACUACCGGUAUAAUUUGCUUUUGGUGUAUCAUCCUAUCUUUGAACAGAGGGCUGCUGUUCUUACUCAAAUUCCACCUAAUUUAUAUGUAUAACUGAUUUAUAUGGUUAUUUUAUGGCAUAGCAGAUUGGUUCUGCUAUGAGCCAAUCCCUAAUUUAUAUGGUUCUUCUAUGCUAUCUUUUGAACUAGACGUAGGCGUUUGUCUGAAAAGAAGUGUUAUGCUUUGGUGUUGUUGUAGGUUCCAGAGGGGGCAGAAGAGGAAGCCAUUUGCACUCACCAGUAAGUUGGGCAAGGCUACAACCUUCCUUGGUGAGUACUGCCUCGGCUACAACCUCCCUCGGAGUAAUGGAAUGUUAAUUGGAUGGUGGUUGCAUGUUCAAGUAUGGGAAAUGAUGAGCUCCUGCUUCUUUUUAUGCCAGCUCUAUGCCGUAGGUCUCAGACAUAAAGAAUCUUCCGAGGACCAUUUAUGACGCAUUCUGGUGCAAAUAGUGGAAGUCUUUUAGUAAAUAUAUAUUCAUGUGAAACUGAAAUUCAGACAACCUUAGAUGAACAUUAUUUCCUGUCAGUGGAUUGAUAGUUGUACUAAAUCUUGCCCGAGGUACAUGCCUACCCUGAAACAUGUUAUUAAGGAAUGUAUAAGUGUAUAUACAAUGCUUGUGGUUAUGGUUGCUAUCUAUUAUGUUCUUAAUUGUGUUUAACUGAUGAUUUUGA